UGCGAUGCGCAAGCAGGCGCGAUAAAUCCCUUAUACUGUUCUCUAGUUUUUUCAUUAGUCUCUGGUUCGACUGGUUAUUCGAUAAACAGCUUAGGAGUGCAAAAGUGACGAAAAUCGUACGUAUUCCAGCUAGAAAUAUCAAGGAGUACAUUAUGCUUCCCAAGUUCGUUUUCCUGAUGCUUGCAAUGGUUGUGGUCACCUGUCCAGCCAGUUUGAUAGACAGACCAGGAGAAUAUGGAACAUUGAAACAAGACUUUCCCCAAGUCCACGACAAAGUCCAGUAUGAUGACACAUGGUAUGACUGCUACGAGUUGACCCACAACCUCCCUCCUGGACCCCACUGUAGCUGUGCCUUCCUGGCAUGUACUGGUAUCGCCAACUGCUGGGGACUUCAGUCUGCUCACUGCUUCGUAUUCAACCCUUUCUACGACUACAAGAGCAUGUCCGAGGAGGACUGUAUUUGCCAUUAUCAUU
Molecule: long non-coding RNA, 474 nt
Organism: Nematostella vectensis (starlet sea anemone)
Lineage: Eukaryota; Metazoa; Cnidaria; Anthozoa; Actiniaria; Edwardsiidae
Exons: 3
Source: RefSeq, a predicted model, not a curated record